UAACCCUCCGCUCGAGAACGUGGUUUCUUUUGCGACGUGCAAUACUCUGUGGCAGAAGUCUUGCACCGUUCCAAAAGAGAGCAGCACGUGGAGCGACGAGAACGG
Drosophila melanogaster (fruit fly) is the source of this 105-nucleotide non-coding RNA. The record is from Ensembl. Lineage: Eukaryota; Metazoa; Arthropoda; Insecta; Diptera; Drosophilidae.